GCAGUGAUGGCCGAGUGGUUAAGGCGUCUGACUAGAAAUCAGAUGGGAUCAUCUUCCCGCGUAGGUUCGAAUCUACUCACUGCG
Molecule: non-coding RNA, 84 nt
Organism: Homarus americanus (American lobster)
Lineage: Eukaryota; Metazoa; Arthropoda; Malacostraca; Decapoda; Nephropidae
Source: the annotation of a RefSeq genome assembly